AAUCCAUAGGUUAAUGAGGCGAACCGGGGGAACUGAAACAUCUAAGUACCCCGAGGAAAAGAAAUCAACCGAGAUUCCCCCAGUAGCGGCGAGCGAACGGGGAGGAGCCCAGAGCCUGAAUCAGCAUGUGUGUUAGUGGAAGCGUCUGGAAAGGCGCGCGAUACAGGGUGACAGCCCCGUACACAAAAGCGCAUGUGCUGUGAGCUCGAUGAGUAGGGCGGGACACGUGGUAUCCUGUCUGAAUAUGGGGGGACCAUCCUCCAAGGCUAAAUACUCCUGACUGACCGAUAGUGAACCAGUACCGUGAGGGAAAGGCGAAAAGAACCCCGGCGAGGGGAGUGAAAAAGAACCUGAAACCGUGUACGUACAAGCAGUGGGAGCACCCUUUGGGUGUGACUGCGUACCUUUUGUAUAAUGGGUCAGCGACUUAUAUUCUGUAGCAAGGUUAACCGAAUAGGGGAGCCGGAGGGAAACCGAGUCUUAACCGGGCGUUAAGUUGCAGGGUAUAGACCCGAAACCCGGUGAUCUAGCCAUGGGCAGGUUGAAGGUUGGGUAACACUAACUGGAGGACCGAACCGACUAAUGUUGAAAAAUUAGCGGAUGACCUGUGGCUGGGGGUGAAAGGCCAAUCAAACCGGGAGAUAGCUGGUUCUCCCCGAAAGCUAUUUAGGUAGCGCCUCGUGAAUUCAUCUCCGGGGGUAGAGCACUGUUUCGGCUAGGGGGCCAUCCCGGCUUACCAACCCGAUGCAAACUGCGAAUACCGGAGAAUGUUAUCACGGGAGACACACGGCGGGUGCUAACGUCCGUCGUGAAGAGGGAAACAACCCAGACCGCCAGCUAAGGUCCCAAAGUCAUGGUUAAGUGGGAAACGAUGUGGGAAGGCCCAGACAGCCAGGAUGUUGGCUUAGAAGCAGCCAUCAUUUAAAGAAAGCGUAAUAGCUCACUGGUCGAGUCGGCCUGCGCGGAAGAUGUAACGGGGCUAAACCAUGCACCGAAGCUGCGGCAGCGACACUGUGUGUUGUUGGGUAGGGGAGCGUUCUGUAAGCCUGUGAAGGUGUGUCGUGAGGCAUGCUGGAGGUAUCAGAAGUGCGAAUGCUGACAUAAGUAACGAUAAAGCGGGUGAAAAGCCCGCUCGCCGGAAGACCAAGGGUUCCUGUCCAACGUUAAUCGGGGCAGGGUGAGUCGACCCCUAAGGCGAGGCCGAAAGGCGUAGUCGAUGGGAAACGGGUUAAUAUUCCCGUACUUGGUGUUACUGCGAAGGGG
RNAcentral lists this ribosomal RNA (1263 nucleotides) under Salmonella enterica. Its description in RNAcentral is "partial 23S ribosomal RNA". It matches the Rfam family "Bacterial large subunit ribosomal RNA", at positions 161 to 1469 of the family's 2925-position model. Lineage: Bacteria; Pseudomonadati; Pseudomonadota; Gammaproteobacteria; Enterobacterales; Enterobacteriaceae. The record is from RNAcentral.